CGGACGCUGUGUGUAGGAGCCAAAGGAAGUGGGAAUAAAGGGUCAAAGCCAGUAGAGACAAGAACCCAUUUUCAGGCUGAACUGGGGCGGCCUGCACCGUGGGGAAUCGUGUGUUGGACGCCCGAGUGCAGAAGACACGGCUGGGGUCUCGCGGAACAAAAACUUUCCUAAGCCUCAGGUGCCUCCGGUGCGUCCUGGGAGUCAGCAGUCAGCACCUCAGCCGCAGGAAACUUUGCCCUGCCCGGAGGCUCUGGAUCUUCCCAGGGUUCACUGAUCACCCAGACCAGCUGACCUGUGGAACAGAACAGACCUAGAAGGUGGAGAGGAAGGAGACAGUAGCUAAGGCUCCAGACUUUUGGAGACCCAAAGGAGGAGAGCUGGACAGAGCAAAAUCUCCUAGGGUCAAGAGGAGAUCAGGAAGCUUUAAGGAAGCUGAUGGCUGUUUGAUCUGAUAAAAUUCUCUGUGCCCUUAAGAAUUGGGUUCAGCAGGUGGCAAGGUGCUGCUCCCUUGAAAUUACAGCUAGAAAAGUAAGGAAAACUUUGUCUGUCUGCUCUAAAUAUAUAAACAUGUGUGGCUACUACAUGUUUGGUCUUAAAUGCAUAAAUAUGUUCUCCAUGUCUUGGUUAUGGAUUAUUGGCUUCCAAGUUACUGGAUAUGGUUAAAAAUCUGUAAUAUCAGUAACAGAAAAAAACUGGUAACUCAAGAUUGGAGCCAUUCUGGACAACAACACAUGGCAUGAGCCAAUUCAUGGAAACAGGUCUCUAAAGAUACUUUUAAAUUGGGGUGAUAUUUUUAUGUAAUUUCUGUCCUAACCAGACUUAUAAAAGAUAGAAUUUAAAAAUAUUUAAUAAGAUAAUAAAGCUGCACCAUCAUACUUUCAUAUACAAGAACUUUUCUGGGAGUCAAACUUUGUAAACAUGAAAAUAAUGCACCUGGUAUUGAUUUUAGAGAUACUGCGUUGUUUACACGGUUAAAAACGGGUUUGUCUUCUAAAAUUAUGGUUACAUUGUUAGAAGCUGGUUUUGUCUUCCAAAAAUUAUAGUUCUGCUCUAUGACUUCAUUCUUUAAAAGCAUAGCUUAUUUGGAUAUUGUAGAAGGAAAUUUUAAAAAUUAGAGUUAAACAUAUAUAAAGCUAUGGGACAUUUUAAAAUUUAUUAAAUGUGUUAUUGGAAUGCCUUUGUUGGUAUAUGAUAGUUACACCAAAGGAGGAAAUUUUAAUAGAAACUGUCAUGACUUUAGAAAUUACAAUGGAAAGCAGUAAUCAAAUUAUGGAUCCACAAAUGGAGGCAAUUUUGGUGGAGAAAGCUCAGGCAGUUACUAUGAUGGUGGGAUGGAUCUCAUCGUGGAUAUGAUAACAGGUUUCAAAUAAAACAGAAACAGAAAUGGGCAAUAGUUCUUAGCUGGAAGAGAGAACAAGGAGAACAAGGAGUUGUCGGGAAAGCUGCAGGUUAUUUUGAGACAGUCACCACAAAUACAUUAGAGGAAUUGUAAAAAUCUGCCGUAGUCAGAAAGGUCACUGCAGCGGGAGACCCUGUUUUUUCAGGAGUGUCAUAGCCACCGUUGAAAAAAAAUAGUUAUUGAUUAAAAUAAUAACAAUUAGUUAUAUAUUCCUGAGGUCUUUUUAGUUGUUGUCAUUUCAUGUUUUUUCUUCUCAUUACAUCAGUUAUAUACUGUCCUGUAAAUUAUGGUAAUAAUAUCAGAAAUAAAAAUUAAGAAAUUUAAUUAAAAAAUGGAGAUUUACAAUAUUGAAAAGGUUAAAAAACAUUGGCUCUUGAUAUCUACCCUUCUUCACUUCAGUUUCUGCUUUGUUUUGUUUUGGCUAAGGCAAAGCAGCCUUCCUUCCUUCCAGCUGAACACAUAAAAGCUCUCUCACCCAUGAUACUUACAAUUUUUACUAACUUACUAGCCUCCUGCCCUGAGACUGGAUUCAGCUUAAACUAAAUCAUAUGGGAAACUGUUAUAUUCUAUGAUAAUAUACCAAAGUUCAGAAAAGUUUCUAGUCUCUGUAUGGAGUGUGUUUAUGGGUGAAUUUUUUUUUUUCAUUUUGACUCUAGAAGAGCUUCCAAAAAACCUGUAACUUUCUUGUUUCUUUAAUUUAAUUUAAUUUUUUUUCUUUUUCACUUUACAUCCUGCUCACUGCCCCCGCUCAGCCACACCCUCCCACAAUCCUUGCCCCAUUCAGCUCCCUUCUUGUCUGAGCAGGUGAGGGCCUCCCUGGAUAUCCCCACCCUGGCAUGCCACAUCUGUGAGGCUAGGCACUUCCCUGAGACCAGACAAGGCAGCCAGCUAGACGAACAUAUCCCACAUACAGGCAACAGCUUUUGCGACAGCCUCUGUUCCUCAGGAAGGCCCACAUGAAAACCAAGCUGCACAUCUGCUACAUAUGUAUGGAGAGGCUUAGGUCCAGCCUGUGUAUGUACUUUGGUUGGUGGUUCAGACUCUGAGAUUCCCCAAGGGUCCAGGUUCGUUGACUCCUGUUGGUGUUGCUGUGGGAUUCCUAUCCGCUUCAAGGCUCAGAAUCCUUCCUCCUAUUCUUCCAUAAGAGUCCCCAGCUCCAUCCACUCUCUGGGUGUCUGAAUCAGUCUGAGUCAGCUGCUGGGUGGAGCCUCUCAGAGGACAGCAUGCUCCUGUCUGCAAGCAUCACAGACUAUCAUUAAUAGUGUCAGAGAUUGGUGCUUGCUUAUGGAAUAGGUCUCCAGUUGGGCCAGUUAUUGGUUGGCCAUUCCCUCAGUCUUUGAUCCAUCUCCCAUGACUGCAUUUCUUGUAGAAGGAUAAAUUUUGGGUUGCAAGUUUUGUGAGUUGGUUGGUAUCUCUAUGUCUCUCUACUGGUGGUUUCUGCCUGGAUACAGAAGGUGCUCUCUUCUAGGUCUAUAUCCCCAGUGUUGUGAGUCACAGCUAAGUCACCCCAUUUCAUUCUUGGGUGCCUUCCUUAUCCCAGAGAUAUUCCUCUGUCACAUCCUGGAGAUGCCCCCCCCCCCACUUCUCACCUGUCAGUUAUAGAUUUCUAUCCAUUCUCACGACCAUCUGGCCAUAUCUACUGUCCCUUUCUAUAC
Molecule: long non-coding RNA, 3054 nt
Organism: Mastomys coucha (southern multimammate mouse)
Lineage: Eukaryota; Metazoa; Chordata; Mammalia; Rodentia; Muridae
Exons: 3
Source: RefSeq, a predicted model, not a curated record